RNAcentral lists this non-coding RNA (45 nucleotides) under Schistosoma margrebowiei. Lineage: Eukaryota; Metazoa; Platyhelminthes; Trematoda; Strigeidida; Schistosomatidae. The record is from RNAcentral.
AUUCAGCUGAUGAGUCCCACAAAGAACGAAACGUACGUCCUAGAU